Populus trichocarpa (black cottonwood) is the source of this 116-nucleotide non-coding RNA. NCBI's taxonomy places the organism in Eukaryota, Viridiplantae, Streptophyta, Magnoliopsida, Malpighiales, Salicaceae. The record is from Rfam.
AGCCGUGCUGUGAGCACAGAGCGAACUAUUCUUUCGCCUUUUACUAAAGAAUACCGUGUGCUCUCCGCUGAUAGCGGCAUACGCCUAUUUUUGGAGGGUUCCUUCCUUUGAAGAAG